UUCUAUGUUGCCAGCACGUGAUGGUGGGGACUCAUAGGAGACUGCCGGGGUCAACUCGGAGGAAGGUGGGGACGACGUCAAAUCAUCAUGCCCCUUAUGUCUUGGGCUUCACGCAUGCUACAAUGGCCGGUACAAAGGGUUGCGAUACUGUGAGGUGGAGCUAAUCCCAAAAAGCCGGUCUCAGUUCGGAUUGGGGUCUGCAACUCGACCCCAUGAAGUC
Molecule: ribosomal RNA, 220 nt
Filed under: Arthrobacter sp. 10-11E
Lineage: Bacteria; Bacillati; Actinomycetota; Actinomycetes; Micrococcales; Micrococcaceae
Description: partial 16S ribosomal RNA
Rfam family: Bacterial small subunit ribosomal RNA
Source: RNAcentral